CCUGUAAAAGAGCUCCGUAGAAAUAUUUUAACUUUCGUGUGUGUGCAUGUUGUCCCGAAACCUUUCUUAGUACAAGGUAAAAAAUAAUAAAAGAGAGAAAAUAAGUUGAAAUGACGGACGAUAGAAAUGAAAGGACGAUGCUUUGCAACUUGUCCAGAAACAUAGUUCAAGUGAAAAGUUGUUCAUGGAAAUCGGCAAGGUUAACAUAAUAAAAAACUCAUAGUAUUCUAUCAUUUCAUGCCAAAGAGUGCGCACUAUUUUUUUGUUUCAUGUAAAUAAGUAUCCACUCAUGUCAAUAAGUGUAGAAACCAUUGGUAAAAAUUGACCGAUGAUCCUUUUUUUUUUGGUCAGAGAAGAAAAGCCAGUUAUUUAACCAAACCGAAUAAAUUUAUUAACUAAUCAAAUAAGAGUUGGCAACGCAGAAUUAGUUGGUUACUUAAACAGAGAAAAGUUAGUAACUCCUAUUAUCAAGAUUGGUAAUUUCUAGUUGGGUUCGUGAAGGGUGAAGAGGAGUGAAGUAUUUUUAUCAACAGAAAUCAUUUUAUAACGAGGAAAGUGAUAAAGAGAAGAAAGAUCUGCUGAAGUUGUUGGCACGUAAGACAGAAGAGAAAGAGUAGACCUCAUUCUCCACCAUAACACAAUGUUUCCAUUAGAGUAGUCAAAGGAAGGGUUAGAGUAGGAAAAAUUGCACUAAGAAAGACCAAAUAAGCGUUGGUAAGUUAGUCCCGAAAAAAUAAGUCUAUAAGUCUAUAAAGUUAGUCAAAUAGAGUUAGUUACCCAAAAAGAGUUAGUAAUUUUAGCGAAAAAUAGGUCUAUAAGCUAUUCACAUAAAUAUUUGCAAAUACAUAUAAGAGCUAUUAAAUUUAAAGGAAUGGCAAGAAAAAAUAAAUAAAAUUUAAUAAAAAAUAAGAGAUGUUGAUAAUUGCACAUUGUUGAAAAGAGUCGGUGAGUUCAUACAAGUGUAAGUUACCAAUAAGUCACUUAGAAAUCAGGUAAUUGAAUACUUUUUUUAAUCACGGUUUUUUGUCACUUACAACUCUUUCAUAGGUUUAUCAAAAACUAUCCAAUUUAUUUUGGAAAGACAAACAAUAGAGUCGUCCAGAUAACUUCGGGAAAAAUACUGAUAGAAGAAUAAUCAUGAUCUUUUACUUGUUUAUCGUGGGAAAAAAAAAAAAAAAGAAUAGGUCAAUAACUAUCAAGAGAAGGGGUGAUUUCUGAAUGUGCUCUCGUUCUUUCAUAUAAGGUAGAAAACGCCAUGUAUGCUUGGAGAAAUAUUCAUUCUCUCCUUUCAUAUGCCAAGUUGAACAUUUUUAGUCUAUUCAGUUCCAAUCUUACCAUGUGAUUGCAGUCUCUCUUGAAAUUGGUGUUUCGGCUCCUGUAUGGAUAUGAUAAAUCCUGUUAUUCAUUUAACGGAAAUUGUUUCUCAUUGUUUUCUUCCCCUUCUCACCAUAUCCAUGCCUCCAAAUACAGCGGCUACUCUAUGAAAGUUCUCAAGACAUCUACUUCGCUCAGAGAAAAGGACAAAUAUGCUAAAGACGCAUGUACCUUUCUUUCCCUAAUGCUGCUCAAACUUCGCUCGAGCUGAUCCCCUCUCUGUUGGAUUUCAUCGAUUGAGCAAGAUCCAAGAUAUUCUCCUGAUAGCUUCCUGAUGUAAAAAAGAAAAGGAGCACGAUAGUUUGGGAAUUAGAUAUCAAGAAUCCAUUUCAAUCCACAAUAUAUAAGAGAGAAGUUUCAAAAUUUGUGGACCGUAGAGAAACUUCAAGAAGCUCAAUCUUCCUCUCCAUGUCAGUGGUUUCUUGCUUCAGACGCUGCACAUAUAUGGAGAUUGUGACAUUUAUGAAUCCAGUGAACGGAACAAUACAAACUGAACAAAUUUGAAAUUAGUAAUAAAUAAAACCAAUCAUAGGGACCAAAUUUGUAACACUACAGCUAAGACUGCUACUAUAAGAACCCUAAUGUUCUUGCAAAAUUUGUAGCUGCCAUAGUCAAUUCUAUGGCAUACCACCUCACUAGUUCUUGAGAUCAAAGGUAGGGUUCUAAUCAAGAACGCAGUUCGAUAUUAUUACAAUCUGCAAAUACAUACAUAAAGGUUCAACACCAACAAUCAAUUUUAAGACUUCUUCAAGAAAACAAUAAUAUGUAAAUGCCCAAGAAGGGCAUGUUUCUGAGGCAUAAAGUGGUGGAUGAUGAGUGGGAUUUCAGAAGCUGAAACCGUUUUCGNNNNNNNNNNNNNNNNNNNNNNNNNNNNNNNNNNNNNNNNNNNNNNNNNNNNNNNNNNNNNNNNNNNNNNNNNNNNNNNNNNNNNNNNNNNNNNNNNNNNNNNNNNNNNNNNNNNNNNNNNNNNNNNGCCAAAAGUCCUUUAUCUAACCAUAACAGCACUUUGAUUUCGACCAAAAUAAAUAAAUAAAUAACAGCACUUUGAUAGCACAGCUUUGGUGGCUCUCUCAAAUUAUUCCCACCUGUACUAGACUAACAUUUUGAGAUACCUGACUUUUGCUGUAAAGUAUGAAAUUUGGAUGAGUUUUCUAGAAUUUGGUUCACGAGAGGUAAUGCAUACUUAAAAAGAAUAAUUCUAGACAUAUUAAGGCUUGUCUCCUAAAUUUUUUUACUUUAUGACCCCCCAAAAAAAAUUCAUUUACUAAUUGAUGAUGUAGAUUCCUGAUAGGUACUUAAACGAGUUUACUAACUUAAAUAACAUUUAUGCAACGGCACAUCGCUUAGCAAACCAAUGUAGAAGGUAUUCCCCCCAUUCCUCAUGCUUAAGAACCAUGAAGCAUCUCUCAUGUACAAAAUCACAUGCAUCACAUAUAUGUAUUUAACCUAGUAAACGUUCAAUUUUUCAUUUUCUAUUUUUAUUAUUCUUUCAAAGUGAAACAUUUACUGCUAUUUUUCACCCAAAAAAAAAAAAAACAUUUACUGCUAUCACUCAGACAAGAGAUGUACUUAUGAAUGAACGCUCCAAGUUGCUAUCCCCAUUAAUGGUCAUAUUCUGUUGAUGCAGACAAAAAGACUUACAAAGUUAAAAUUUGAAAUAUUGACGUUUUCACUCAGCUUUGGUGACAAUGGAUGUAAUGAAAAUCAACAACUCAAAUAAGAGUUGAAAAUGAUUAGGAUUCUUCUUCUAGUUGAAAUAGCGAUCUUAUCAAUUAAGAUUUGAGCACUGUUAGGAUUUAAUUAAGUUCAAUAUUCUAGUGGUGGGACAUUGUAUUUCUUGUAUAGAUGUUUCCUAUUUCAAUCAGGUUUCUUAUUGAGAAGUUUCCCAUACUAAGUAAGAGUAGGAUUUCUAGAAUAAUUUAGCAAUUUUUUUUUUUUAAUUCGUGAUGCGAUAAUACUCUUACAUGUGAUGCCUAAGAAACCCCAUUUGUGAUGCUCAGGCUGUUUUAUGUCUGAUGCCUAAAAAAUUACCUAAUUUGAGUUGUCGUCCAUUGAAAAUUCUCUUCAAGUUCUUAUUAAGUUGAACUCACUGCUUAGGGAGAUAUCAUCCACUAUAUCAAUUUUGUAUAAUGGUAGAGAUGAUAUGUCCUGAAUAGUGAGCUUCAAAGAAAACUUGAAGAGAACAAACGAUUCAAAAUGAAUAAGUUUUUUCGGCAUCACAUCUAUACUUUCUAAGCAUCUCACCUAGGGUUUCAAAAGUGCCACACUUCAGAGAACGAUUCCAUCACACAAGAAAGAAAUACAAUCCUUAAAAACCUUUCUAGGAUUAAUGAUACUCCCACUAGGAAGACUCCAAACAAGAAAUAGAACUGAAAUAGAAUUCAUCUACAAAAGAAUUUAAUGUUCCAUUUGUGACGUAAGUAGAAAAUUUAAGAAAAUCCUGAUGGUACUCAAAUCCUAAUUGAGAAGACUAACACAAAAAUCAACUAAAAGAAUAAUCCAAAUCCUAGGUGUCACAGGCCAGCAACGACCAUCAUCAUCAAAUCUUUCUAAAAACAUCGGCCUGUUUGAUAUUGUUGCCUUCAUUACUGGCUAUAGUUCAUGAUUUAUCCUCAAUAUAAUAGACAUCAUCACAACAAACUCAAGCAGAAACUGAUUUCGAAGGUUAAAAUAAUACGUUGAGAAUUGAGGUCAUUUCUUUUCAUCUCUUGCAAUGAAAUAACACUUAUAGAGUGCCAUGUCACUUGUUAAACCAGCUCAGAAAGUGUUCCUAGCAUUCGUCAUGCUUAAGGACCAUGAAGCAGCUCUCAUGUGCCAAAGCACAGGUAUCAUGUCUAUGCAUUUUAACAUCAUGAAAGUUCAAUUUUCCAAAGCGGAACGUGUUUUGCUAUAACUCCGCCAAAAGAUGUAUCCAUGAAUGUGCCUUCCACGUUAGUGUUCCCAUCAAUAGAGAUAUACUGUUGAUGCAGACAAAAGGAUUUACUAAGUUGAUAUUUGAAUAUCGAUGUUUUUACCAAGCUUCAGUGAGUAUGGAUGCUGUGAAAUUCUACAACUCAAUGACCUAAAAGAUCAUAUUGAGAUCAAAUUGGAAUUGAUUCAGAAGUAUGAAGUAACAAGUUGAGAAUUGAGAUCAUAUCUUUUCAUCUCUUGCAAUGCAAAUAAACCACACAAAGAAGCAUCUUCAUCAAACAAGGGAAUUAUAAAAGUGAACUUCUAAAGAGAUUCAAAGAGAAAAGGUCAUUGAUCUGCAGGAAAUAGGAAGCUUCAUGAUCCAUAUUGUUCUGCAUCUAUUUAGACAUUUCGUAGAACAAAGGUUGUAAAGUAGUCCCUUGCGAGCUGCGAAUUGUGAAUUAGAGAUAUAAUUUUUUUUUUUUUUAACAUGAAGAAUUAGCAAAAAAGAUGCAUAACCAUUCAUCAUCUUAGUUCUAUCCAGCCUGGUAUUUUUAGAUUUAGCAUUUGACUAAUAAUAUAAUAUGUGGAGCCAGGAGCUGUCCCUCUCAUGAAUUACUCAUUUCUUCAUUCUAUGGUUUCACUUGAAUUGAUAAAAAAAAGAAAUAACAAUAAUUGACUUGGCAUAAAGUAAGUUUAUCCGCAACUUAUCUUGGAUAUAUACACCUUCUCAUUAAGAGAAAAAUUACCACAUUAAAGAUGUAUUCAGAAGUUGAAUGUCACUUGACUCUAUCCCUUUUUGUACAAGUAUAUCAUCAUCAUUAGUAUGAUAUCUACUUUCUGGUUCUAGUGAUCCAUUUAAAUCAUGUAUGCAGGUAGAUUGUCGCGUGAUUCUUUGCAUACCAGGCGACUAUUUAUGCAUACACAAGUAUAUAUUAUAAGGCUGUUGGGGAAAUAGAAUUUCUCGUCAUUUGUGUUCGUAUAUAGACUUCUUUGUAAGUCCCAUCCUGAAAAAGUUAGGUAAUGUGAUUUUAUAUGUUAAUUCACACACACACAAAAAGAGGAAGUUGGUUUCUUACAUACAGCAAAAUGAAUAAAAAUUGAACUGCUCAACUUGUUUAAUUAAACUGAGAAUCUCACUGAACUCCUUACGAAUGCACCUAAUGUAUUAUCAUGGAAAGGUUAGAGAACCGACCAGAAUAUAUUGUUCCACAUUAGCCUGGUACGUAGCCGCACCACUUGCAGAUCUGCGAUAUCAAUCAAUUGUCAUUCGGAUUCUGAAAAAAUUGCAAAGAUAACAUAUGAGCUCAGCCACUGGGAAUACAUUCUCCAAAUUAAUCAGUAUCACCAAAACUAAAGUAAUCAAACAUUAAAAAAAAUUAAUGAUCAUUUUUGUGAAUCAUGCAUGACUUCCAGUGAAUAUGUAUAACCAUCACUCACAAACAGAAUACGCAAGUAGCAUAAGCCUCUGCAAGAAGCUUUUAGCCUCUCAGCAACUUAUUUGAAACGAUAUGAAGUACUUGCAAAAGUCUUGGUUGCCCACCUUAUACUUUGUAAAUAAUUGAUGCCACAGAGAGUGUAGAGAAGUAAAAAGUAACACUAAUGAGAACUUAAAUGAAUAGGUCGCUCGUCACUCAUAGGAAUUCAUCUAACAGAUAAGAGCAAAACAAGAAAUCCUUCUUGUUCUCAAGCCAAAGGCUAAAUAAGCUAUGAAUCAAAACAAGUCUACCUCCUCAUUUAUCAUAGCAUGCUUAUAUAGAUGAAUUUGGAACAACCCUUCAAGCAUGAGUAAUUACCAAGACUCCUUGAACAGACAAAAGACUCAUAGAAAAGACAAAACUAGUCUUACUAGAAAACAACUAUACUUAAAUGAGGACUUCAGAAACUUAAAUGACAUUUACUAAACCUUGAAAAUAUAAGAAUCAAAUGUAGUUGGUUGUAAGUCUCCUAGUUUUACUAGUUCUGAAUUAAUGGAAUGCUCCGGCAUCAAUAAUCGUGCCAGGAAUAUUUUUCUUCAAAUUUUAGCGUAAAUGUUCAAUUUCACAUUACAAAAGUAUAUUAUGUGCACACGCGAAGUAUAUUUAAAUGCGAGCAUAGAUGCAAUGUUUUUGGCCUAGCCCAAAGUCUUCAAUAUAUUCCACAUGCCACUCCAUGUAAGUAAGAAGUAAGAACAGCACAUGAUGCUCUAAAAAUCAUUGUGAAGCAGCACAAGGACUCACUACUUCAGGGAGAAAUUGUAAGAGCAAGCAGUUGCACCUACAUUUAACUUGUGACUUCAAGUACUUUUUUUCCCGGUAAAUGAAGAAUAGGGAGUACUUUCAUGGUGGAGCAACUAAAAUGGAAAACAUGUACAAUUGCAGUCACUUUUGGACGUAAAUACUCUAUUUAUAAGAAAUCCAAGAGAUAAGUGUGUCGUGUCGCAUUAGCAUUAAUCUAUUAUACUAGCGAAUGCACUCAAUCCCAUUAAAUCACCACUACACAAAUGUAGCCAAGCCCCUAAACUUAUUCACCUUUCAGAGCACCCUAUAAUUUAAAGAACCUGAAGUUGAAGAUGUCAGGACUUGUUUCACAAGCUUUUGCUUAGGGUUAAGUACCAUUAAAAGAUCAACUUGAAAAUCUUUUGCAGGUUUUGUUUGAUUCGGAAGAGAGAUUAAUUAUGCUUUAAGUUUCGAUUCAAUGAACCAUGAUUUGAAAUGCUUCUUUAUUAUGGCAGUAGAUAGCUAACAUAUUAAUUGAUUUCCCGACUGAUAUAAUGCGUUUCAUAUGAAAUUUCUAGUUUUUGCCUUGUGUUAUGGUCAUAAACUUGAAACAUGGAUCUGCAUGAUUUGUAAGAUAGCUAUUAUCACAUAGGAUACAUAAAAUAGCCUUAAUUCACGUCUAAGUGGUAUAAUUACAACGAACUGAAUCAAACAAGGUAUGGUUUGAAACGCUUCACCCUUUUCAACUUAAGUUUGGUUUUCUUCAACAAUUUUCCAAGCAAUCAAAUUUGUUUGGAAAAGAUCUACUUCGAAUAGAAUAAUACCUAACUGCAAAUACGCUUAAUCAUCAUGCCUCAAGAACCUACAAUGUGGAAUUGGGGGGAAGGCUGAACUGUUACUUGUCAAAACCGGAAGGACCAAACAAUAUCAGUCCCUAGUUUCACUAACAUCAAAUUAUGUUUUCAUUCCCCAAGACAAAGUACUAACUAUCCUAACAUGUGAAGUAGCUGGGGGAGAUCAGUACUUGCAAGAUAUUCAACAAUUCGUUUCCUCAGAAGAACCAUUAAGAAAGAGGGAGUCCAACUCCAAUGCCACAGCCUACACAAUGAAUGCCUUUGAUCAGCUAAUCCCCCACACCUAGCCAUUUGAUUAGGUACACCCCAGUGCAUUGACUAUUCAAAAAAAUGCGAAAGAGAAGAUUCUAUAGUUUCAUACUUCCUUUCCUCAGCUAAUUUCAACUAGGAUAUUUGAAUAAAAGUCAUUGUUUUUAAAAAUUGUCCGAAAAUGAGAACUAGAUUGGUCAUCAUCGUGGGUUAGUCCAUGAUCGAAGGGGAAUAGCACUGAACACUUGACCAAAACCAAAAAUGGUAGGAAAAAAAGCAGAAUAAGAAAAAAAAAAAAAAAACCCAUGCCCUGAUGCUGUCUCUUAUUUGCACUUCACAAACACACAGCGUACAUAUGUGCAUGUGCCCUCAUUUUGGACAUAAGAAUGUCAACAUGGCUCAAUCACGUUGCCCAUCUAAAAUCAACUCGAGAAAUUAUAAAAUCGGUACGCGAACGUACUCGGAAGUGCUUGAGAACUCAUAAAGCCUUCCUUUCUGUGAAAAGAUGAUCAUGGUGACUUCGGCAUCGCAGAGGACUGAGAGCUCAUAAGCUUUCUUCAGUAGCCCAGCCUGGCGCUUUGAGAAGGUGACUUGCUGGCUCGUCGCGUUCUCAAUUCGCCUCAUCUGAACUUUGCCUCUCGCCAUGAUUAAAUUCUUCCUACAUACAUGGUGGUUAUCAACCCUAGAAUGGCAAGUACUCAAACGUAGCGAUGAACAUAACAAAUAUACCUCAACGAUCAAAAAUAAUAACUCACCAGGGACUUUGGCAGCGUCAACCAGCUGAAGAUUUAUCUUUUUAUCCACCUCCUAUUGUCUAAACUUUAGACUGAAGUUCUUCAGAAGCUAAAAACACUGCAAGACAAAUCACACUUCUUUUUUUUCCAAAUAGACAUGAACUAUAUCAUCAUUCGAACACAAGCAAAAACCACAUGAUAAAGAUUUCACAAUCAAAGGUUGGAGAAUUAUAUAUUUGCCCAGGGUAUUAAAUGGGGAAGCUUCUCUACUCUACGCACAAAAAUGAACCACAAUAAAUUCAGAGACCCUACAGAGGGAUGAGAGCGCGAAGGCAAAAACCAAAAAACUGGAACGAAAGCAAAGGAUAUUUGGCAGCUCACGGAUCUCUCUUUAUUUUGUGGCCACGAACAUAAAAAGCAAAAAAAAAAAAAAUCAUUACUAUUCCAAAUUCAACGAUCUUCUACUCAGGGCAAAUAUGGUGUGAGAUACCCAUCAAAAGGAAAUACAGACAAAAAAGGAAAGAAAUAAGGAGGCAAGCAAAGCAUUCAAGUUCGACCGAAACGGCAUGGUCAAUUUCGUAAUGAAGAGUCGGAGAAGCAGAAGGAUUGUCUCGUUUUGAUUAAGUUAUGAAAAAGAGAGUAGAGAGAGAGAGAGAGAGAGGAGAUAUUAAGUUUUUAUUUAUUUAUUAAAUAUUCUUUGCCAGCGGGCUUCAGCUUCGGCUGCUGUGGCCUGUGGGACAUUCGAAUGAGAGAGCACUAAGAAACGAAACGGGUGAAAAGAAAGAGAAAAAGGUCGUACGAUGGCCCUAAAUUGUGGACAUCACCGUACCAUGGCGCGCGCUGUUAACGAAUGGGACGUUCACAACUGGGAAAACAUUAUCCCUCACUUAAACUCAGUGAGCCUCCACUCGACCGAUGGAAAGAGGCUCUGUCCUUUUCUUGGGCCUAAUAGGAACAGCCUCGGGGCUCUUCUUCGAUCGGUUCCUCUCCUAAUGGGUUUACAAGCACUAGGAGUACUCGAAAUUAUUACCAUGAUAUAUUCAUGGAUAAAAUAAAUACAGAUCUAUCCUUUAGCUUAUCUUUUCUUCAUGUUCUUCUCAUAAUUCCUCAUUAUUUAGGGGCGUAAAAAAUACCCGAAACCUUUCAAUUUGGAUAAAAGUAAAGAAAUUCAGGAAGUUUGACGCUUCAGUUCAGAUUUCGGAUUUUUUUUCUUAGGUUAUGCACAUAGGAGAUCAAAAGUUACUGAUUAUGGUGCACUAAUCCAAAAUCACUUAAUUUUCUAAUUAGGAGAUGUGAUUUUGGACAAAACUAUUAUGUUUUGAUAGAAUACAAGUAGAGCAAACAUAUCACGAUAUCAAUAAAAUGGCCAGCUCGCCCCCAUCACUAAGCCCCUCGCUGGCAAGAAGCUCGGCAAGCGCACCCUCAAGCUCGUCUACAGAGGUAAUGCCCCAUGAAACCCUUACUUGUUGUCUCGUGUUAACAUGCAUUCUUGCUCCCUUUCUCCUUUCCGUUGGUUGGCAAGUUGAAAAUGAGUUUUGGGUACGUGAUUCGUUGGAUAUACAGUGACUGAUGGUCUUGACUCUUUAUGAAACCUAUUCAAUGGAACUUUAGCUGGAACUGGGUGCAUCGAAAUGCUGGUUCUCUUUGUCGAUGAGCUAAAUAUUCAUUGCAAAUGGCAAGCGCAAGGGGGCGGGGUGGGCUUAAAUGGGUGUGCUACGUGUUUGUGGUUCAAUUGAAAUUUCUUUAGGCUGACUAUUGGCAUGUCCUUGUGGUUCUUCCUGAUUUGCAGCUGCUGAAGACAAAUGCUUGAAAAGAGGCGUGAAGGAGGUUGUUAAAAGCAUUUGGCGUGGUCACAAAGGGUACAAAUUUAUCCUCUUUUUUUUUUUUCUAGUUUGAGCAUAAAUGCCAGUCGAUGCAAGGUCGAAUGAAAUCUCUGUAGUUGCUUGGAGCCACGUCUUUUGUUCUGCAUAGUGUUGGCUGGGGAAUGUUUGGGUUGUUGUUGAGCCCAGAUAUUCGGAAAGAGAUUUGAUUUACUAUAAAAACUAAUUUGUUUUUGUAGAAUUCUAAUGUUAUAUAAUUUGUUUUCAUUUUUCAAUCAAUGGAUCAAGACAAAGACAUAUCAAUGAAAUAUGGAAGUUAUUUGUGUAAAUCGUCGGUGGAUUUUCAAUUGGGAUUCACUUUUUAUUUCGAUUUUGAGAUUAGAAAAGUUCUAUUUUCUUUGAGAUUGAUUAUUCUGCUGGUUUGAAAGCGUGCAUGGUGAUACGUAGGAACUUUUGGAUAGGAAUGAGAGUCAUUAGCAUUUCAAUUGACAGUAUUUUUAAUCGCUAGUCCUCGCGAUUUUUAUGCAAAAAGGUUGCUGUUCAGAAAUUUUUAUGCAAAACAGAUUCUAAUAUAAACAGGGUUGACCCUAAAACCGAACUGGAAAAUUAGGGUGGGUUGGGUACAGAGUUCAAUACAAACAAGGUCGGGUACAUGGUCCAAAAAAUGGGAACCAAUUAUAACAAGGCCGGGUACAGGAUCUAGGUCUAGAUCCUACCCACCCUGGACUCGAUCAUCCCUAUUGUACACAACGAGAAAGCAUCAUUGGUUACAACAAGGUGUUUUCUCCUAUUGUAAGGCAUUUUGAUAUUUGAAUAUUACUUGUUUUAAUUGCUACACAAGAUCUCGAGCUAAAACAGCCGGAUGUCAAUAUGGCAAUUUUUAAUGAUGAGUUAGAGGAGCGCAUUUAUAUGAGGCAACCAAAAUGAUUUGUUAUUCUGAGUAAGGAAGAGCAUAUUUUUUUAUUAAAGAAAUCUUUUUAUGGGUGAAAACAGUCUCCUAAGUAAUGGUAUAAUCAUUUUAAUGUUUUUAUGACUAGUCAAGACUAUUCAAAAAUCAGUUAAACGGCUUUAGAAAAUAGGAGGAUAGAUAUUUGAUUUAUCUAUUAGUAUUUGUUGAUGACAUAUUGAUAACGGUUAAGAUUUUGUAUGAAAUUGAUGUGUUGAAGAGGUAGUUGACUACUAGAUUUCAAAUGAAAGAUUUGGGUACUACAUAAAAGAAAAAAUGUCAAAAACGCUUAUUGGAUCAAUUAUAUGAAAAGCUUUUGUUUUGAAUUGUGCUAUGAGUUUUACUUGCAAUUGAGUCGUUUAUAUAUAAAUACCGUAGGUUUAGGUAUACUCUAGGUGUGGGAAACAAUCGAGCAUGUGAGCAAUUAUUAACUCUAUGAUUCUCCAAUAAUUAGUAGAUUUCUUGCUAGCUCUUCUCGUUAAGAAGUUACCAACACAUAGACCAAACCACGUAAAUUUUUAAUGUUUUUUCUUCCUGACUUAUUUCUAUGGUGAUUUUGCAUUUAUUUAAUUCAUAAGUUCCAAUAUUUUCCACAUUAGUUUUACAAAAUUUUAGAUAGACAAGCCACCAUAUCGAUUAUAAAAUACAAAAGAUGAAGAGAACAUAGCUAAUGCAAUGUGGAAUGAAAAGGACACUAAAAUAGCACAAGGCCUUUGAAUAAAUCACAUGGGCCUUUAAUUAAAUUGCAUAUCUUUAUUAAUAUAUUAAGCCAAAGCACGCACCUUACUCAUAUGACCAACAUGCCCCAUUUAUCAUGUUUCUACAUCACAACAAUCUUGACCCUCUCAACUAUUUCAUAUUCUUUUUUUUUUCAAUAACUAAGUAAAUUUUAUAACGCAAAUAUUAACACAGUUGGAGAGCAUCUUCUCUCUACCAACUCAAUACAAAGGCAAGUCUUUAAAACAAAGAUGCAAUCCAAUUUCCACUGCUGCUAAUACUAAUUGAGUUUCUUGGACAAAAGGCAACCAUAACAUUCUCAAUGACCUUUAUACAAAGCUAAAAGGCCUUUAAGCUAGAUUUGAAAAUCUAAAUAUCCUAGAAAUCACACAAAUAUCUAUCAAUUGAGAUGGCGUAUAUUUUCUCUUUUAGCAAACCAACAACCUUAAGUCAAGUUGACAAAUAGAGUGAGUUUAUCUCCCUGCUACUCAUAGUAUUUACAUGUAAUGGCUGAUAUUAAGAGAAGUACGUAUGCGUUUGUCUAAUUUGAGUAAUGGUUAAGUAUUGGAGAAGUAAUGCUAAAUCAUGCAUUGACAUAAUAUACACAUCGUCAAUUGAUUAAACAUUUUAACCUAUAAGUCAUUAUUUCAACAUGUACAAAAGGGUAUUUUAAAAAGUCAUUAUUUGGUUUAUUGGUAGUUUGGUUAAAAUGAUCGAAAUAGAAUUACUGAUUACAAAUAGCAUUUUGCAUAAAAAGAUAAUCCAAUUUUACUUUUAAAAAAAUUCAAAAGGGAUUCUUGUCAUUUUAGUCAAUGGGAUUCAUCCUAACAAAUUUCACAUUUAAAAGUCCUCACUUAAUAUUGAUUUGCUUCCCCACAUCACUUUCACGGGUUUAUUUGAUGCACAAAAUCCAUUUUUCUUAUUUAUGAGGACAUUUAGGUACUUUUGUUGGUUUGGGAUUGAGACAUCCAAGACAAUGUUCUUGUUUUAAGAAAAGGAAUUAUUGUAGUAUGAUGUUAAAAAAUCACACUAAUAUUGGAUUAUAGCUAACAAGCCAACCAUGGAUCCUGAUGUAGACUAGCCCAAAUUAAUUCCUGACAAGUGACCAGGUAGAGGGACCCAUUGUCUUUCGAAUCCAAGCUUGUCCAUAGAUUUUUCCAUCACAAAGAAUGAAAACAAAGGGAAAAAUAGAAAGCUCAUACAUAAAUUUUGUCUCCUUUUUAUUAUUUAUUUGUAUUUCUUAUUAAUUGUUAAGUUGGAUGCACCGUACAUUUUAGUCAUCUUAUGUGUCCCGAGAGAAUUAUCAAAAAAAUCCUAAACUUAUUGCAUUUUGGUCAAUUUAGCCCUAAACCCAUGAAUACUGGCUAGACAGUUGAUCGGCUAUGUGACAAUUUUUUAAUUUUUAAUUUUAUUUUUUCAAAUUUUAAUUUUUUUUCCUUUGUUUUUUUUUUCCCAUCUCCCUCCUUCCUCAGGCUGAUCAGAGGCAUGGGCCGACAAGCAUGGGCCAGCAGGGGCGAGCCUUGCCUAACUAUAGUGAGGCCUUGCUAAAUCUGGAGACUCAGCCUCACCCAAUCAUGGUGAGGGCGAGCCUCACUGACUACUAGCAAGGUCAACCCUCGCUAGACCUAGCCAUGGCAAGCCCAGCGAUGGUGAGGCCGAGCCUCACCAAAUUUGAUGGGGCCCAACAUCGACCUCGCCAAUGGUCGGUGGGGGCGAGCCUCACCAUUGGUCAGAGAGGCUAAGCUAUGGUCAGUGGCGAUCGGCCAAAGAAAGGAGGAAGAAGGGAAAAAAAAUAAAAAUAACAAAAAGGAAUAUAUAUAUAUAUAUAUAUAUAUAUAUAUAUAUAAGAAUUAUUUAAAAAUACGAAAAUUUUAUUUAAAAAUUAUCAUGUCAAAAUCCACAAGGUAGCCAACACUAGCUGACGUCAAUGUCGAUCAACUCAAUUUGGCCAAAUGAAUUAAAUUGGCAUAAUUGGAAAAGAUUUAAAACUCGGUUGAAAAAUAAAUUUAAAACUGAAUUGACACAAUUGCAAUAAAUUUAAGAUAUUUCUGGUAAUUUUUCCCACGUGCCAUUGAUUAUCCUUAAAUGUCUGUCUCUCCAAUACCCUUCCAAUUUAAGGCAUCGCCUUGGAAACAUGUCAUCACUCACAAGCCCAGAUGGAAGCUAGCUUCUCGGAUGAAAAAAGUUGGAUCUCGUUGUUUGGGAUGAGUUACAAAUCUAUUGAGUAGCCUCAUGUUGCAACAUGACAAUUUUGAUUUCAGAAUAUUUCAGAUGUCCAUGACCUUUACAUCUGCCUAUGUCCACGCUAAGGGAAAUUAUAGAAGUGAUGAAUGAAAUUUUUUUGGCUUACCCAACCUUUAAGAGGUGUCCGACCAAAAACAAAACCUUAAAGAGGCAUCCUCAGACUGAAAAAUAAAAUAAAUUGAGAACCUCAAAGAGGUAUCCAAUGAUGUUGAAAUGCAUGCAAGCAAUUAAAAAAUAUGCUCAACAAAGACAUUUGUUUCUUGGAAUCAACCGAUGUGUAACUCAAAUGUGAAGCCCAAGGUGCAAGCAAGUUAUUUCCUUCAUUUCGCUGAAUCUUCCUCGUAUAUGUCUGUCAUUGUUCAUUUCUAAUUUGAUCUUUCUUUGCCUUCGCUAUUCUUACUCGUGGAUCUUGGAAAUGACUACCAUGAAUCCCAUGCAUAUGUUGCUUUGGCUGUGCUAAGGGGAAUCUAGCUGAGUAAAGAUAUCACCGAGUUAUAUCACCAUAAUUCUUAUUUUAUUCUAUUGAAUAGGUAUUAUUAGGGUGAUGGCGAACCAGUUUAACUCUGUGCCAAUCCGAUGAACAACCCGGUCUCACCAUCUGUACUCCGGCUGCUCCGGCUAUGUAUUGUUGUUGCUCUCAGAUGAGCUGUUGAUUGCCCGGGAUUUGCAAGACACUGAAAUUGGAAGAAAGAAAGAAAGGACCCAAAAUGCUUUUAAAUUUAAUAAAAUAAAAAAUGCAAUUGAAUGGUAAUGGACAACCUGGAAACCUUCACUCAAUUAAAAUGGGAAAAAGCUUCAACACAAUUUGAGAUUUACAAGCAAAGAACAAGCCUUUCAUGGGAUCUAAUUAGGUGACGAAGCAUCUGUCUAUGCACUCAGAUCUAUUAAUGGUCAUUGGGAGAUCUCAACUUUCCCAACAUCUGACUCUAGAAGAGGUUCUUUGCUCCAUAAUCGGAAGAAAAAAAGAAAAAAAGAAAAACUCUAACAGUGGCUAGCUACGCCAUACAUGACUACAAGCUUUGUUUCCACCGAUAGUCAAUGUCUAAAGUACAGACUAUAUCAUGAAAGUAACAUACUCUAUGUUGUAAAUUUUUCAACAGUGGUCAUAUUAAAAGGCUAUUAGUUUUUGUUAUCGAGUUAGAAUUUUCUAAACAAUCGACUAAUGGUUAAAAAAUCAUAGAAAGACACAGGAACUUUCAGUCCUUCAACAAUCCCAUGUUAGAAAUAAAGAAUUGUACAUGAUGAUGGUAAGUUGGGUAGUACUUUUCUCAACAUUAAUUACUCAAAACAUUGUGCUACUAAUUUUUAUUGCCACAUUGGCAAUUACUAACUUCGUGAUAUUUUCACUGGGAAAGUUGAAUUUAUCCCAACAACUCUAGAAGUGAUUCUCUUCCGUUCUCAAAAAAGACAAGAAAAAAAAAAGCUCGAAAAGUGAUUAUGUAUGCCAAAUGUGCUCACUAAGAACUUUUGCUGCAUCUAUAGUCCACAGUUGGAAAACCCAAUAUAUUCAUCCGUGAAAUAAAUAUUCUCAAAAUUAUGAUAUUCACAACGUAGGUCACUAACUUAGUGCUAGUAACCUUUUUCUUUUCAAGUCAGUAACUUUCCAAGCACAUCAAGUAAUGGUCAUGGGAGCACAAAAAGACAGAGAUUUAGGUCCGUCUACAGUCCUAUAGUCCAAUACACAGUUGUGUCUCUUGAUCACAAUUCCCAUAUAAUUUGUUUUCCCAGCAUGAGGUCGUAACUCUGUACUAGUAACUUCCAUUAUGGAGUCAAUCACUUUCUUAACAGAUCAAGUGCGGGAUCAUAGAAGCACACAGAUUUGAGUUUGUCUACAAUUCCAUGUAAAAAAGAAAAAUAGAAUUCUAUCUUGUGACAGUAAAUUUAUCAGUGUGGUGAUAAUUUUCUCAACUUGGAUUAGUAGCUUAGAAGUAGUAUUAAGUUUCAAGCAGGUCAUACGGUCUCAAGAUCGUAGAAUUCUUCGGUGAUGUUCAACCUAUCUGCUCAUUCUAAAUUACCCUAUCCAAAACAAAACUCCUCACCGAUAGAGAAAGGUUCAAUAUAAAUACCAGUACAUAACCCUGAAAUUAAGUAUCUCUCAUUAUGUAUUGUCCUUUUCAUAAAAACUGAUAACGUUGCAGCACUCUUUAAAUGUUUUAACACCGGGACUAAUAGAAAGCAGGACAAAUUGAUGACCAGCAAAUUUAACCAGCACAACAAACUGUACAGCACACAAUCUACUAAUAUUGGUUUGAUGGACAAAAGCAACAAGCUUCUUCACUACACAAGCCUAUUAGAACAUUAGGGCAAAAAACAUUAUUAAUCAUUAAAGACCUCUCUUUCUGGUCUUAGCAGAUCAUAAAACUGCAUUGUUAGAUCAUACAUGAAAAUUAUUGAGAGAUUCUAUUGCAGGUUUCACAAGUUUUUGGAUAGUGGUUAAUAUAUGCACAGAAGAGUGAUGAUGCACGGCAAGUAAUAGGAAGGAAAUUAAAGCACCGAUGGGAAAGAGGGAGACACCUUUGCAAGAAGCUUUGCAUUCUCUUCUUUCAGAGACCUCUCCUGAGGUAAACCAAAUAAAGUUGCUAGAUUAAUAUAACCAGGAAAUUAACAACGCCUGAUGAGAUCGGAUAUGCAAUCAUCAUAUUUGUCCACUUACCUUUGCUUGCAACUGCUGUAUCUGAUCGUUCAAUAAUUGAGCCUGUAAAAGAGUUCCGUAGAAAUAUUUUAACUUUCGUGUGUGCAUGUUGUCCCCAUACCUUUCUUAUUACAAAGUAAGAAAAAAAGAAAAGAGAGAAAAUAAGUUGAAAUGAUGGACGAUAGUAAUGAAAGGACGAUGCUUUGCAACUUGUCAAGAAACAUAGUUCAAGUUAGAAGUAGUACAUGGAAAUCGGCAAGGUUAACAUAAUAAAAAACUCAUGGUAUUCUAUUAUUUCGUGUUAUAAGUAUCAAUUUGUGUGAAUAAGUGUCAAGAAAUCAAUUAUAAAAAAUGAUCGAUGACUUUUUUUUUUUGUCAGAGAAGAAAAGCCAGUUAUCUAACCAAACCAAAUAAACUUGUUAACUAAUCAAAGAAGAGUUGGUAACACAGAAUUAGUUGGUUACUUAAUCAGAGAAAAGUUAGUAACUCCUAUAAUUAAGAUUGGUAAUUUCUAGUUGGGUUCAUAAGUAAGGCAAAUAUUUAUGUGUGCACGAGUCUCAUAAGUGAAGGGUGAAGACGAGUGAGAGUAUUUUUUUCAACAGAAUCUAUUUUAUAACUAAGAAAGUGAUAAAGAGAAGAAAGAUCUGCUGAAGUUGUUGGCAAGUAAAACACAAGAGAGAGAGUAGACGUCACUCUCCACCAUAAGACAAUGUUUCCACUCUAUCUCAAGAGUAGUCAAAGGAAGGGUUAGAGCAGGAAAAAUUGCACUAAGAAAGACCAUAUGAGCGUUGGCAAGUUAGUCCCAGAAAAAUAAGUCUAUAAGUCUAUAAAGUUAGUCAAAUAGAGUUAGUAACCAAAAAGAGUUAGUGAUUUAAGCAAAACAUAGGUCUAUAAGUCAUACAAAUAAAUAUCUGAAAAUAUAUAUAAGAGCUAAUAAAUUUAAAGGAAUGGCAAGAAAAAAAAAAUUUACUAAAAAAAUAAGAGAGAUUGAUAAUUGCACAUUGUUGAAAAGAGUUGGUGAUUUCAUAAAAGUGUAAGUAAGUUACCAAUAAGUCACCUAGAAAUCAGGUAAUUGAAAGCUUUUAUUUUUUAUCAUGGUUUUUUGUCACUUACAACUCUUUCAUAGGUUUAUAAAAAACUAUCCAAUUUAUUUUGGAAAGACGAACAAUAGAGUCGUCCAAAUAACUCUAGGAAAAAUAAUGAUAGAAGAAUAAUCGUGAUCUUUUCCUUGUUUAUUGGCAAAAAAAGAACAGGUCAAUAACUAUGAAGAAAAACGGUGAUUUGUAAAUGUGCUUUCAUUCUUUCAUAUAAGGUAGAAAACGCCAUGUAUGCUCGGAGAAAAUUGAUUCUCUCCUUUCAGAUGCCAAGUUUAACGUUUUCAGUCUAUUCAGUUCCAAUCUUACAAUGCGAUUAGAGUCUCUAUCGAAAUUGGUGUUUUGGCUCCUGUAUGCAUAUAUGGUCAGUCUUGUUAGUUAUUUGAGAGAAAUUGUUUCUCAUUGUUUUCUUUCCCUUCUCACCAUAUCCAUGCCUCCAAACACAACGGCUACUCGAUGAAAGUUCUCAAGACAUCUACUUCGCUCAGAGAAAAGGACAAAUAUGCCAAAGACACAUGUACCUUUCUUUCCUUAAUGCUGCUCAAACUUCGCUCGAGUUGAUCCCCUAUCUCUUGGAUUUGGUCCAUCGAGCAAGAUCCAAGACAUUGUCCCGAUAGCUUCCUGAUGUAAAAAAGAAAAGGAGUACCAUAGUUUAGGGAAUUAGAUAUCAAGAAUCCAUUUCAAUCCACAAUAUAUAAGAGAGAAGUCUCAAAAUUUGUGGACCGUAGAGAAACUUCAAGAAGCUCAAUCUUCCUCUCCAUAUCAGUGGUUUCUUGCUUCAGACACUGCACAUAUAUGGAGAUUGUGAUAUUUAUGAAUCUAGUGAACGGAACCAUACAAACUGAACAAAUUUGAAAUUAGUAAUGGAUAAAACCGAUCAUAAUGAACAAAUCUAAAACACCACAGGAUCCUGCAAAACUAAGAUUGCUACUAUAAGAACCCUAAUGUUCUUGCAAAAUUUGUAGCUGCCAUAGUAAAUUCUAUGGCUUACCACCUCAGUAAUUCUUGAGAUCAAAAGUAGGGUUCUUAUCAAGAACGCGAUUCGGUACUAUUACAAUCUAUAAACACAUACAUAUACGUUCACACCAACAAUCAAUUUUAAGACUUCCUUCAAGAAAACAAUAAGAUGUAAAUACCCAAGGAGGGCAUGUUUCUGAGGCAUAAAGUGGUGGAUGAUGAGUGGGAUUUCAGAAGCUGAAAGAAUUUUAGAGGACCAGUCAAUGUCCUCAGGACAUGUACAAAGACCAAAAUAGCACUUUUAAUGUUAUAUUUAACUUGAAACCUAUUUUUCUCUUUAUACAUAUCAGCAGUUUCUCCUGUCUGCUUCCCAGUCAUUGCCAAACCACAUGAAUAACAGUGGUAAGGCUGCAAUAAUAUUACAGGUCCUUUAUCUAACCGUAACAGUGUAAGAGUUUUCCUGAUGUGGGCUACAUUAAUUGAUAUUGUAAUUUACCGUUUUAUGAGGUUUAGUCUAAGGUGAGAUAGAAGGUUUCUUAAUUAGUCUAAUAUAGGGUUGGCCAGUUUGGGCCGAGUUGAGCCAGGCCCGUAAUGAGAAGACCCAGUUUAAAACUCUAUAAAAGUGCUCAAAUCUCUCCUCUAACCCUAAUUCUCACAAGUAUCCUCAUAUAAGGAGCAUUUACCUAGCGCUAAAGGGUGAGGAGGCCAUCUCAUUGAGCCAGUGAUAUGGAGGGCAAUAGAGGAGAAUAACUUGAAUUGAUCUAAAAGAAAUUCAACAAUUGAUUUGGCAUAAAGGAAGGAUAAUUUACUUGGCAUAAAGUAAGUUUAUCCGCAACUUAUCGUGGAUAUAUACACCCUCUCAUUAAUAGAAAACUUACCACAUUAAAGAUGUAUUCGGAAGUUGAAUGUCACUUGACUCUAUCCCUCUUUGUACAAGGAUAUCAUCAUCAUUAGUAUGAUCCCUACUUUGUGGUUCUAGUGAUCCAUUUAAAUCAUGUAUGCAGGUACAUUGUUGCAUGAUUCUUUUCAUACGAGGCGACUAUUUAUGUAUACACAAGUAUAUAUUAUUAGAUUGUCGGGGAAAUAGGAUUUCUCACCAUUUGUGUUCGUAUAUGGACUUUUUGUGAGUCACAUCCUGAAAUAAGUUAUGUAAUGUGAUGUUAUAUGUUAAUCCACACACACACGGGAGAAAAAAAGAAGAAAAAAAGAAGAAGAGGAAGUUGCUUUCUUACAUACAGCAAAAUGAAUAAAAAUUGAACUGCUCAGCUUGCUUAACCUCUACAUAAUGUGCUUACGACUGCACCUAAUGUAUCAUCAUGGAAAGGUUAGAGAACUGACCAGAAUAUAUUGUUCCAUAUUAGCCUGGUAUGUAGCCGCAUCAUUUGUAGAUCUACGAUAUCGAUCAAUUGUCUUUUGGAUUCUGAAAAAAUUUGCAAAGAUAACAUAUGAGCUCAGCCACUGGGAAUACAUUCUCCAAAUUAAUCAGGUAUCGUCAAAACUAAAGUAAUCAAACACUAAACAAAUUAAUAAUCAUUUUUGUGAAUCAUGCAUGACUUCCAGUGAAUAAGUAUCACCAUCACUCACUAACAGAAUAUGCAAGGAGCAUAAGCCUCUGCAAGAAGCUUUUAGCCUCUCAGCAACUAAUUUGCAACGAUCUGAAGUACUUGGAAAAGUCUUGGUUGCCCACCUUAUACUUUGUAAAUAAUUGAUGCCAGAGAGAGUGUAGAAAAGUAGAAAGUAACACAAAUGAGAACUUAAAUGAAUAGGUCGCUUGCCACUCGUAGGAAUUCAUCUAAGAGACAAGAGCAAAACAACAAAUCUUUCUUGUUCUCAAGCCAAAGUCAAAAUAAGUUACGAAUCAAAACAAGUCUACCUCCUCAUUCAUCAUAGCAUGCUUAUAUAGAUGAGUUUGGAACAACCCUUCAAGCAUGAGUAAUUACCAAGACUCCUUGAAAAGACAAAAAGACUUAUAGGAAAGACAAAACAAGUCUUACUAGAAAAUAACUAUAAUUAAAUAAGGACGCUAGAAACUUAAAUGACAUUUACUAAACCUUGAAAAUAUAAGAAUCAAAUGUAGUUGGUUGUAAGUCUCCUAAUUUUACUAGUUCUGAAUUAAUGGAAUGCUCCGUCAUCAAUAAUCAUGCCAGCAAUAUUUUUCUUCAAAUUUUAGCGUAAAUGUUCAAUUUCACAUCAUAAAAGUAUAUUAUGUGCGCACGCAAAGUAUAUUUAAAUGUGAGCGCAGAGUGAGCUAAGGCAUUGUUUUUGCCCAAGCCCAAAGUCUUCAAUAUAUUCUACAUGCCACUCCAUGUCAGUAAGAAGUAAGAACAGCACAUGAUGCUCGUAAAAUCAUUGUGAAGCAGUACAAGGACUCACUACUUCAGAGAGAAAUUGUAAGAGCAAGCAGUUGCCCCUCCAUUUAACUUGUGACUUCAAGUACUUAUUUUCCCUGUAAAUGAAGAAGAGGGAAUACUUACACGGUGGAGCAACUAUUGCAAACAUGUACAAUUUCAGUCAGUUUUGGACAGAAGUACUCUAUUUAUAAGAAAUCCAAGAGAUCAGAGUGUUGCGUCAUGUUCGCCUAAAUCUAUUAUACUAGUGAAUGCACUCGAUCCCAUAAAAUCACCCCUACACAAAUCUAGUCAAGCCCAUAAUCUUAUUGACCUUUCAAAGCCCCCUAUAAUUUGAAGAACCUGAAGUUGAAGAUGUCAGGACCUGUUUCACAGGCUUUUGCUUAGGGUUAAAGUACCAUUAAAAAAUCAACUUGAAAGUCUUUUGCAGGUUUUGUUUGAUUCAGAAAAGAGAUUAAUUAUGCUUUCAGUUUCGAUUCAAUGAACUGUGAUUGGUAAUGCUUCUUGAUUAUGGCGGUACAUAGGUAAUUCGUUAUUCAAUUGCCUGACUAAUAUAAUGCAUUUCAUAUGAAAUUUCUAGUUUUUGCCUUGAAACAGUGAUCUGUAUGGUUUGUAAGAUAACUAUUAUCACAUAGUAUACAUAAAAAAGUCUUAAUUCACAUCUAAAAGGUAUAAUUACAACGAACUAAAUCAAACAAGGUAUGGUUUGAAGGCUUCACCCUUUUCAACUUAAGCUUGGUUUUCUUCAACAAUUUUCCAAGCAAUCAAAUUUGUUUGGAAAAAUCUACUUCGAACAGAACAAUACCUAAUUGCAAAUACGCUUAAUCAUCAUGCCUCGAGAAUUAGUUACGGAGAUCAAUCCCUAGAAGCAGCCUUAAAACCUAUAACGGUUCAAAAAGGAACACUACACGGCGUUAUCAUUUCAUAUCAAUGUGGAAUUGGGGGGAAGGCUGAACUGUUACUUGUCAAAACCAGAAAGACCAAACAAUAUCAGUCCCUAGUUUCACUAACAUCAAAUUAUGUUUUCAUUCCCCAAGACAAAGUACUAACUAUCCUAACAUGUGAAGUAGCUGGAGGAGAUCAGUACUUGCAAGAUAUUCAACAAUUCGUUUCCUCAGAAGAACCAUUAAGAAAGAGGCAGUCCCAACUCCAACGCCACGGCGUACACAAUGAAUGCCUUUGAUCAGCUAAUCCCCCACAUCUAGCCAUUUGAUUAAGUACACCCCAGUGCAUUGACUAUUCAAAAAAAUGCGAAAGAGAAGAUUUUAUAGUUUCAAAACUUCCUUUCCUCAGCUAAUUUCAAGUAGGAUAAUUGAAUAAAAUUCAUUGUUUUUGAAAAUUGUCCCAAAAUGAGAACUAGAUUGGUCAUCAUGGCGGGUCAGUCCAUGAUCGAAGGGGAAUAGCACUGAACGCUUGACCAAAACCAAAAAUGGCAGGAAAAAAAAGGAGAAUGAGAAAGGAAAAAAAAAAGAAAAACAUGCCAUGAUGCUGUCUCAUAUGUGCACUACACAAACACACAGCGUAUAUAUGUGCAUAUGCCCUCAUUUUGGACAUAAUAAUGUUAACAUGGCUCGAUCACGUUCCCCAUCUAAAAUCAACUCGAGAAAUUAUAAAUCAGUAUGUGAACGUACUCGGAAUUGCUUGAGAACUUGUAAAGCCUUCCUUUCUGUGAAAAGAUUAUCACGGCAACUUCAGCAUCACAGAGGACUGAGAGCUCAUAAGCUUUCUUCAGUAGCCCAUUCCGGCGCUUUGAGAAGGUGACUUGCCGGCUCAUCGCGUUCUCAAAAUUCGCCUCAUCUGAACUUUGCCUCUCACCAUGAUUAAAUUCUUCCUACAUACAUGAUGGUUAUCAACCCUAGAAUGAGAAGUACUCAAACAUAGCGAUGAACAUAACAAAUAUACCUCAACGAUCAAAAAUAACAACUCACCAGGGACUUUGGCAGCUUCAACCAGCUGAAGAUUUAUCUUUAUAUCCUCCUCCUAUAGUCUAGACUUUAGACGGAAGUUCUUGAGAAGCUAAAAACACUGCAAGACAAAUCACACUUUCUUUUUUUUUCAAACAGACAUGAAGUAUACCAUCAUUCGAACACGAGCAAAAACCACAGGAUAAAGAUUUCACAAUCAAAGGUCGGAGAAUUAUAGAUUUGCCCAGCGUAUUCAAGGGGGAAGCUUCUCUGCUCUACGUCAGAAAACGGAACCACAAUAAACUCAGAAACCCUAAAGAGGGAUGAGAGGGCGAAGACAAAAGCAAAAGAACUGGAUGAACGCAGAGGAUAUUUGGCAGUUGAUGGAUCUCUCUCUUUAUUUUUUGGCCACAAACAUAAAAAGAAAAAACAAAUCUGAUUAUUCAAAAUUCAACGAUCUUCUAAUCAGGGAAAAUAUGGUGUGAGCUACUCAUAAAAAGGAAACACAAACAAAAAAGGAAAGAAAUAAGGAGGAAAGCAAAGCAUUCAAGUUCAACCGAAACGGCAUGGUCGAUAUGGCAAUGAAGAUUCAAAGAAGCAGAAGGAUAAUCUUGUUUCGACAAAAUUAAGAAAAAGAGAGUAAAGAUAGAUACGGAGAGAGAGAGAGAGAGAGAGAAAAGAUAUUUUGUAUUUUUUCGGAAAAAAAACGUAUAUUUUGCCGGUGGGUUUGAGCUUCGGCUGCUGUGGCCUGUGGGACAUUCGAAAGAGAGAGCAGUAAGAAACGAAACGGGUGAAAAGAAAGAGAAAAAGGUCGUACGCUAAACUAUAAAUUGUGGACAUCAUCGUACCAUGGCGUGCGCAGCUAACCUAUGGGAACAACUGGGAAUACAUUAUCUAACUUAAACUCAGUGGGCCCCUACAUGACCAAUUGAAAGAGACUCUGUCCUUUUCCUGUCCUUUUCCUGAGCCAAAAGUCUUUAGGAAAAUGCAAAUACCUUUGACUUAAAAGGUGUUUUCCAAAAUGCAACCGUGUUUGGUAAAUUGUACUUUGAAAGCUCUUUGUAAAGUAUUUUGAGCAAAAUAGCGUUUGGGGAAUUACACUUACAAAAGAUCUUUGUGGUAAAAAAAAAAAUUAUCAAAAGAAAAAUUAAAAAAAAUUGACCAAAGGGCAGUGGCCGCCGGCGACCUCCGGCGACCUCCGGCGACCUCCGGCGACGCCGGAUCUGGGGCAGCGAGGUCGCGCGACGCCGUCGCGACCUCCGGCGACCUCCGGCGACGCCGGAUCUAGGGCAGCAAGGUCGCGGGAGGACCUCGCCGCCCCGGAUCUGGGGUCGCAGGAGGUCGCCGGAGGUUGCCGGAGGUCGCCGGGGGCAACUGCCCUUUGGUCAAUUUUUUUUGAUUUUUCUUUGGGAAAUUUUCGAGGGCCGCNNNNNNNNNNNNNNNNNNNNNNNNNNNNNNNNNNNNNNNNNNNNNNNNNNNNNNNNNNNNNNNNNNNNNNNNNNNNNNNNNNNNNNNNNNNNNNNNNNNNUGGGUCGCGGUGACCAGACCUUGCCGUGGGUCGCGGCGGUCGUGCCACCGCCUGGCGUCGCUCGUCUGGGCGACGGUCGCGGGCGACCGCUCGCGGAAGAAGAAGACCGUUGCCGCUCCAGAUCUGGGUUGCGGUGACCCAACCCUCGGUCGCGCCACCUCCGGUGUCGGUUGCGCCACCUCCGGCGUCGGUUGCGCCACCUCCGGCGUCGGUCGCGCCACCCCCCGACGAUCGCCGGCGUCCCUCUAGCAGUCGCCGGCCGCUCACAGUCAGCCGGAACCGAACCCCCCGGAGAAGAUGAACAGUAGCGACACAAGGGCAAGAACCGGAAAAACAAAACAUUCGUGAGGACAAUUUUGGAAAAAAAAAUUAUGAACAGUGCCCGCGUGGGCAUGCCGAAAAAGCCGAAAGCCCAAGGCAGGUCCCCCCCCGCCUUGGGCUUUCGGCUUCACACAUGCUGGCAUUUCCGAAAUGCGGGCUCAAAAAAUUUUCCCAAACGGGCUGGCAUUUGGCCAAGUACCUUUAGGCUUCAAAGGGGCUUUGGGAAGUGGUUCCCAAACGCACCCUCUGUCCUUUUCCUGUCAUUUUCCUGAGCCAAAUAGGAACAGCCUCGGGGCUCUUCUUCAAUCGAUUCUUCUCUUGGGUACAACGCCAAAGUCACUGAAUGAAAAGGUGAUCGGUUCCAGUUCGGUCCGGUUCCAAGGUGCGACCCAUAGCAGUGGGCNNNNNNNNNNNNNNNNNNNNNNNNNNNNNNNNNNNNNNNNNNNNNNNNNNNNNNNNNNNNNNNNNNNNNNNNNNNNNNNNNNNNNNNNNNNNNNNNNNNNNNNNNNNNNNNNNNNNNNNNNNNNNNUGUUCCGAACCAAUCAAUGAAAAUUCGCUUCCUCGGGGAUCUAAUAAAACUACUCACACAUGUUUUCACGUGCAAAAUAUUCAAACUUCACUUGCGUGAAUAUUAAUUAUAAUUUAUGUGUUUCACUCUUAAUUUUAAGCAUAAAAGCCAUGAACAAUUUGAGUAAAAUCUGUUAUUGGCUUAGGUUUUAUAGACAAUCUCUCUUCUAUGCUUUGAAUGUUUAGUCGAUGUUAGACUCUUUGAGGCCUGAAGUGCCUUGUUGUUUGCAAGUGAGGGGAGCAAGAGAGAGAGUGAGCAUGAGGAACUCCUAGAGCCUUAUCCCACAUCGAGGAGAAAAUAAAACUAACAAAUAAGUUUUCUAAGAGUUUUGGUGGUCUCUUGGCCACAUAAGAGAUUGUUACAUCAAUUGCAAUUACGAUUGCAACAAGUUUCAUAUAUAAUAUUCAUAUAUUAUAUGUGUUUAUAUAUUAUAUGUAUAUAAAUUAUAUAUAAAAAAAUUUGGUCCAGUCCAGUUGGUCCGGUUGGUUUGGUUCCCACCUUGAAACUGGGAACCGGACCGCCGACCGUGGGAACCGCCCAAAACCGGCCGGUUCAGUCCGGUCCGGUCCGGUCCCGGUUUGGGCGAUUUCUGUUGCACACCCCUAACUGAAUGGUAAGUCGUCCAUCUGAUUGACACGGACUAUCGGAAUAUACUUUAUUUGCUGAAUUACGUUAUAAGUGGGCAUUUUGCCAAAAGUUUAUAUUUGAUCAAUUUAUCCUUAUGUGAUUCCUAUUGAAUUAUAUAUUGAGAGAUUUGGUUCAGUAUUUCAAAAACUUAUUAAGAAAAUAUAAAGUAAUUUAAUUUAAAAUAUUUUGAGUAAAUGCAAAAGUUAUUUGGUAAACUAUACUUUAAAAAACAACUUUGAAAAAAAUAUUGUUUGGUAGAAAACUUAUUUAAAAAGUUUUUUGAGCAAGUAAUAUUAGUUUUUUAAUUUUUAUUUGUUUAAAAUUGAAAAAAAAUAAUCUAUGCAAAUUUUUAAAUAUAAAUUUUGAUAAUAUGCUAAAAGAAUCAAAUAUAUUCAACGGGUUUAUUCCUUUUUUUUAAAUUAUAUAUAUGUAUGAUUUUUAGCAUUAAAAAAAAAUAAUGAUGGCAAAAUCAAAAAUUUGAAGAAUGAGUUAUAGUAGUUUUAGAAGAAAAAAUGAGUUUCAGAAAGUUCAAUGGCAUUCAACCUUCUCAAUGUUGCUUUCCACUUGAAAGUUAAUUUAAAAUAAUUGUCAAAUGGUCCAGCAUUUCUCCAAAGGGUUUUGAAGGCCGAAAGCUCAUUGAAAAUGCUAACCUAAACGCACCAUAUGGGUUUACAAGCACAAGGAAUACUCAAAAUUAUUACAAUGAUAAAUUCAUGGAUAAAAUAAAUAUAGAUCCAUCGUUUAACUUAUCUUUUCUUUAUGUUCUUCUUAUAAUUCCUCAUUAUUUAGGGGUGUCAAAAAUAUCCGAAACUUUUCGGUUUGGGUAAAAGUAAAGGAAUUUGGGAAAUUUGACACUUCAGUUCAGGUUUCGUUUUUUUUUUUUUUUUUUAGGUUAUGCACACAAGAGAUCAAAGGCUAUUGACUAUGGUGCACUAAUCCCAAAUUACUUGAUUUUCUCAUUAGCAGAAAUGUGAUCUUCAAUCAACCCACCACCAAAAAGAAAUGUGACUUUCGAUAAGACUACUAUGUUUUGACAAAAAAUUAGUAGAGCAAACAUAUCAUAGUGUUAAAAGUAAGAUAACAAAUGUUAAGAUUGCAUAUGAGUCCGUAACUCCUAAAGUCAGUGAUAUUAAACAGCUAGCAAAAUCGUAGCACUCUCUAGUCAUAAGUAGAUAGAGAAGGCAAAUUAGGCCACCGAUACAUUAUGAUUAUACAUAUAUUACUUUUACAUUUAUUGUAGAGGGAUAAGGUAGAAACAAAUGAGCAUUUGUCUUACCAUGAGGCAAUAGUUAGUGCCGAUAAUUAUAGUGGAUAGAGGCUAUAGGUGAAUAGAUGGAAUCACUUCAUAGGAACUAGACAUGGGAGCUUGUUAGAUCGUCCAAGAGCCAAAACAUCAUUGAAAACAAGUGGAUUCACAAACGGAAGGAGGGCAUCGAGGUAUAUGGGGAGACUUGUUGUGAAAGGAUGUACACAAAGAGAGAGCAGCAUUGGUUACAACGAGGUGUUUUCUCCUAUCGCAAGACAUUAUUAUAUUUGAAUAUUACUCACCUUAAUUGCUAUACAAGAUCUUGAGCUAGAAGAGCUGGAAGUGAAAAUGGCAAUUUUUAAUGAUGAGUUGAAGGAGCGGAUUUACAUGAAGCAACCAAAAAGAUAUGUUAUUUCAGGUAAGGAAGAUCAUGUUUAUUUACUAAAAAAAUCAUUUUAUGGAUUAAAAAAGUCUCCUAAACAAUAGUAUAAUUGUUUUGAUGUUUUCAUAGCUAGUCAAAACUAUUCAAAAGUCAGUUGGAUAACUUACUUUAGGAGAUUGGAGAAUAGAUUUAUGUAUUAUUAUUUGUUGAUGACAUAUUAAUAACAAUUAAGAUUUUGUAUAAAAAUUAAUGUGUUGAAGAGGUAGUGGAAUAUGAGGUUUCAUAUGAAAGAGUUGGGUACUAAAUAGAAGAAAAAAUGUCAAAAACGCUUAUUGGAUCAAUUGUAUGAAGAGCUUUUGUUUUAUAUUAUGUUGGCUUAUUGGAUCAAUUGUAUGAAGAGCUUUUGUUUUAUAUUAUGUUGUAAGUUUUACGUACAAUUGAAUUGUUUAUUCAUAAUACUGUGGGUUUACGUGAAACAAUCAAGCAUGUAAGUAAUAAUUAACUCUAUGAUUCUCCAAUUAUUAGUAGAUAAUUUGCUGCUAACUCUUUUCUUUGAGGAGUUACCAACAUAUAGAACAAAUUGCAUAAAUUCCUAAUGCUUUUUUGUCCUGACUUAUUACUAUGGUGAUUUUGUAUUGAAUUAAUUUGCAAGAUUCGAUAUUUAACAUUUUAAUUUUACAAAAUUUAGAUGGACAAGUCACCAUAUCAAUUAUAAAAUACAAAUGAUGAGGACAACAUAACUAAUGCAACGUGUAUUCAUGAGGACACCAAAAUAGCACAGGCCUUUGAUUAAAGCACAUAUUGAUAACACAUGCCUUUGAAAUGCAUACCUUUACUAUUAUAUUAAGCCAAAGUGCGCACCUUGCGCAUACGACCAACAUGAACCAUUUAUCAUGCUUCUACAUCACAACAAUCUUGACCCUCUUGACUAUUCCACAUUUAAUUUUCAAUAAUUAAGUACAUUUUAUAGCGCAAACAUCAACAUACUUGGAGAGCAUCUUGUCUUUACCUACUCAAUAUGGAGGCGUGUCUUCAAAAUAAAAAUGCAAUCCAACUUCCACAGUUGCUAAUACUAAUUGAGUUCCUCGGACAAAAGGCAACCAUAACAUUCUCAAAGACUCUUAUACAAAGCUAAAAGGCUCCUAAACCAAAUUCGGAAAUCUAAAUACCCUAGGAAUCACACAAAUAAUUAUUAGUUGAGAUGACAGAUAUUUUUUCUCCUUCAACAAACCAACAACCUUGAGUUGGGUUCACAAGUAGAGUGUGUUUAGAAACUUGAUUAUACAUUUGUAGUUAUCUCUCCACUAUUUACAGUAUCUACAUGUAAUGGUUGAUACAAAGAGAAGUAUGUAUGUGUUUGUCUAAAUUAAGUAAUGGAUAAGUAUUGGAGAAGUAAUACUAAAUCAUGCAUUGGCAUAAUAUACACAUCUUUGAUUGAUCAAAGAUUUUAGCCCGUGGAUCAUUAUUUGGACAUGUAUAAAAGAGUAUUGUGGAAAGUCAUCAUUUAGUUUAUUGGUAAUUUGGUUAAAAUGAUUGAAAAAGAACCACUCAUUACAAAUAACAUUUUGUGUAAACAAAUGAUCCAAUUUUACUUUUAAGAAAAUUCAAAAGGGAUUCUUGUCAUUUUGAUCAAUAGGAUUCAUCCUAACAAAUUUUACAAUUAAUAGUAUUCUCACUUGAUAUUAAUUUGCUACCCCACAUCACUUUCACAAGAAAAGCGUUAAAAAAUUCUAAACAUUUUAUAUGUGUGCCAAUUUAGUCCUAAAUUUUUUUACUUGGUGCUAAUUCAAUCAUUCCCGGCUAAUUUUGGCCAAAUUUUGCCGAUUGGGUAUCGGCCAGUCGACAUUGACAAUUUUUAAUAAUAUUUUAAUAUUUAUGAAUUUUUUGUCUUUUAUUUUCUUUUUUCCUUCUCCUCUUCCUUCCUCCAGCCAAUCCUCGUACCUCGACGACUGGCCAGAGGUGAUGGCUGGUAAAGCUCAAGCCCUCGCCAUUUGCUACGAGGGCAAGCCUCACAGCCCAAGCCAUGAUGGCGGCCUUGCGCCAAGUUGGCAAGGCUUGCCCUCGUUGAAUCUGGCGAGGUUCAAGCCUCGCAGCCAUGGUUGGCGAGGCUUGAACCUCGUCGCCCAGCGCAAGGCCGCCCUCGUGGCCACUAGCGAGGGCUUGAGCCUCGUCGGCCAUCGCCUCUGGCUGGUUGUCGAGGACUGGCGACUGACUGGAGGAAGGAGGAAGAUAAGGAAAAAGGAAAAAAUAAAAAGAAAAUAAAAAAUAAAAAUAUAUAUUAAAAUAUUAUUAGAAAUUGUCCAUGUUAGCGUUAUGACUAAGUUAACAUAAAUGAAAAAAGUUUAGGACUUUUUAAACACUUUUCUUUCACUUUCACAUGUUUGUUUGAUGCACAAAAUCCUUUUUUUCUUAAUUAUGAGGACACUAAGGUACUUUUCGUGACAUAAGAUUGACUCAUCCAAGACAAUGUUCUUAUUUUAAGAAAAGGAAUUAUUGUAGUAUGAUGUUUUAUAAAAAUAACACUAGUAUUGGAUUAUAGCUGACAAGCUAGCCAUAGAUCUUUAUGUAGUGUGACAUCCCGAUUUUCCAAUUAUAUUUUCAAUAAAUUGAGACGGUCAUUUCGUUGGCACACAUAUAGUUCUUUUCCCUGAACUGAUCACUCAUGGGAUAACUAGUGUCACGCCCCGAACCUCGAGCGCGCCAACAUCCCACCAUGGUCAUGUAAAUGUGACAUUCUCAAGUAGUGUCGCCGACCCCAUUCAUUUAUUAUUGCGCAAGCGGAACGUAUUAUAAAAUCCCUGACAAUGAAAUACCGGAUAGAAAAGCAGGAAGCAAAUUCACAACCAAUCACUUACAUAAACCAACGGAGUUACAAACGAAGGCCUACAGCCAAAAGUCUACAAAAAACCGGCUCUUAAAAAUGAAUUGUCUUACGACCUAUAAGUCAGACACGUUCUCCAAUCCUCAUGACUUCACCUCUGCAACUCCUUAAGGUCAACCAAAGCUAUCUAGCCGCUCCGUCCACUAGGGACCUGAAAUUGCAAUCCCCCAACCGGGAUGAGAUAAUGUCUCAGCAAGUUCAACCCCCUAAACCCCUAUUAGAAAGAAAAUACGCCUAAGGGUGGCAUAGCCACACAACAUAGAGGACUUACCUCGCAUCGGUUCCUUCCUGCAGGUUAGCACAGUUCAUAUCACUCAAUCAUAUGCAGUAAUAAGAACUUAAACAACCGGAACGCAUUCACUUUCAUAUAACCAACAAUCGCGGGGGUCCUGAUUAUAAGACUAAAUCGUUAUAACACGUCACAUUCCAUGCCACACAAUUCCGUCCCAUAAUCCGGCACAUCAACAACACUCAACAUGCAUUCUAACUGUUAUUCACUGCCACACAAGGGCAUAGCCUACUCGUAGUUCGGCUAUCUACUGGCAUAUAGCCAGGCAUCGCCUCCCCACCUUGGAGCGCGGCUUCGUCAGUACGUCGAUGGCGUUCCCGAAGGAGCAUGGGCCCCAGAAUCAACUGCGACCCGCAACCAAUACGUGGGCAUCCCAUAUAGGGGCAAAUCUGGUUCAACAGCCUAGGACGAUCUCCUCUUAAUUGUCACACAACAAUUCAUAUUCAACCUGGGACACUUUGCAUUUCACUCAAUGCUUCCACUUAAAAUAGUGAUCCCGACCAUUUUUCUUCAUAUUAAAAAUAAUCCAAAAAUUAACCACGUGUGUGGGGGCACGUUAAUUUCGAUCCAGAAAACCAAUAUCUCACUUUUUCAAACCCCACUAUUUAAUAUAAUAUUGAAAAUCCAAUUUUUGCAUCAAAACCCGACACUUGAGUUUUUAUGAAUAAAAUCUCUAUUUAUCACAAUCAACACUCAAUUUGCCACAUCCAUUCAUCAAAUUCAAAUUCUAAAUGCACAGCAGCGAUCAAUACGAAAUUCUGAGAAAAUAAGGUCCCAAAAUAAUUUUCGAAAUUUAUUAAAUAAUUAAAUUUAUUCCGAAAAUUAAUUAAAUAAUAUCCAUAUUUUUCACGAUCCACACUCAAUUUAUAAUAUCCAAUCAUCAAUUUCAAAAUAUGACUACACAGCAGCGACCAGCGCGAAAUUAUGAGAAUUUAGGGUCCUAACAAAAUUUUCGGAAUUUAAUAAAUAAUUAAAUUUAUUCCGAAAAUAAUUAAAUAAUAAUAUUUUAAUAAUUUCGAAUAAUAAUAUAUUAUUAAAUUAUUUAAUAAUUUCGAAAUAUUGAAAUAAAUCAAAAGUAAAUUCCUUUAUGUCAAAUCACAAUUAUACUAAUAUAAACAUCAUUUUAACAUGAACUAAACAUACUUUAAAUUAAACCAACCUCUUAAUCUAAUUCACAAUUAAAUAAACUAAACUAGCCACCUAAGCUUACUUAACUUAGACUAAGCAUACUUAUGGCAUUAUUAACCCUCUAAUCAAGAUUUAGUGAGUUAAACUCACUCAAAUAAUGAGCCGAGCAGACCAAAACGACAGGGACGCCGAGGGGAACAACUUUCUUCAAAGCGGGCCAAGCGUCCGGGGUUGGGAAGCCGGCCAAAACAGCCCAAAACCAGGCUGAGAUAUCCACUAAAACCAUCUGUUGUUUGAGGCAAACGGAGGGCUGCAUGGCGGCGGUUUGGGCGCGAAACCGGCGAGGAUGGGCAACAGCAACUCCAGCAGUGGUUGGCGACAACGAACAGUGGCGAUGGAGGCUCCGGCAGAUGGCGACAAGCAGCAGACGAAGAUUGGAAACUCGGGCUACGGACGACCGAACGGCGGGCUAGCCGGCGAGGCGAGCGCGGGUGAUGCGUGCGGUCGAACGGCGGCGAUGGCGACAAGCGAGCAGGCGGAGGGUGGCCGGUUAGGAGUGCAUCGCGCAAGGGGGUUUGGACGGCUGGUUUCUUCAGCUUUUUCCUCCCCUCUCUCUCUCUCUUCCCAAGCUUGAAGAUGAUGGAGACAAGGGGGAAGUGACAUCCCACCUUUUUGGGAUUAAAUCUCCACCCUCCAUGUGUCACCACCCUAGCCAAUCUUGCCCCACCUCAUGACAUCACUUGUGAUGUCACAAUCCACUAACUCCAAUCUCCCACAACCUUAUUCCAAUAGGUUCAAUUUCAUUUUCCGCCGGGCAUGAAAUCUUGUACAACAAUUCCAAUCAAUUCUCUUCUAAUUAAAGCCCAUAAAUUAAUCCAAUAUUCCUAAUAAGAUUUGUGACACACCAGGACUUCCAAUUUCAGAAUUCAAUCUCAAUUUCACGGUUAAUUUCACUUUGGCACGAUACUAACCCGUCCUGAUCUACCGGGCAGCUUUUAGAAAUUUUCAUGCAUUUGACCUGUGAUUGAUCAAUUCAAGCCACAAUGUACAUGGCAGCUUUUAGAAAUUUUCAUGCAUUUGACCUGUGAUUGAUCAAUUCAAGCCACAAUGUACAUCUUUGAUACAAUGGCGACUUAAACGUCGGUCCAAUGCCGAUUGAUCAGAAUUGUGCGAUCUGGUGGAAUCACCCACACUUGAUCACAUGCCUCCGUCGAGUCAACCUAUCUCCGGUCUCUAAUCGAUUUUUAAUUGUAUCAUAAUGACCCUUGCAGAUUAGCUCGAUCGAAAGGUUGCUUCCUGGUCAAAUUCUCGAGUCUGAUGCAUUAGAAUCUCUUAACGGCUUCACCUGAUAGACUAUUUUUCACAUGAGUGGCCAAUUCAAGGAAAAGAACUAUAUGCGUGCCAACGAAAUGCCCGUCUCAAUUUAUUGAAAAUAGAAUUGGAAAAUCGGGAUGUCACAACUAGUCUAUCAGGUGAAGCCGUUAAGAAAUUCUAAUGCAUCGGACUCGAGAAUUUGACUAGGAAACGACCUUUCGACCGAGUUAAUCUGCAAGGGUCAUUACGGCACAAUUAAAAACCGAUUAAAGACCGGAGAUAGGUCGACUCGACAGAGGCAUGUGAUCGAGUGUGGGUGAUUCCACCAGAUCACACGAUUCUUGUCGAUCGACACUAGACCGACUUUUCUGUCGAUUAGGUACCUUAUGUCCGUAUUUGAAACCUUGAGAUUACCCCGACAACCGAAAGUCAUCAAUGUGUCAAAGACGUACAUUGUGGCUUGAAUUGAUCAACCACAAGUCAAAUGCAUGAAAAUUUCUAAAAACUGCCCGGUAGAUCAGGACGCACUAGUAUCGUGCCAAAGUGAAAUUAACCGUGAAAUUGAGAUCGAAUUCAGAAAUUGAAAGUCAUUGUGUGUCACAAAUCAUUUUAGGAACAUUGACUCAUCUUCGGAAGAUUUUUCAUGUAAGCCGAACUUUUCAGCAAUUAAAUCAGAGAAUGGCUAAUUUGGCUCGAGAAAUUAGUAGGCCCGCUUUUGGUCGUGCUUUUGGGACUCAAGUUGGUUAUAUGGUCAAGUGAUUACGUAAAUUGAAAUGUGGUGAUAUUAGAUUAAUUUUAUGGACUUCAAUUUAAUUCAAUUGGAAGGAAAUUGAAUGAAUUGUGUUGUACAAGAUUUUGGAGAAUUCAUGUCACGGCGGAAAUUGAAAUUGGACCUAUUGAGAAGAUUGUGGUGGAAGAUUUGGGUGAGUGGGAAGUGAUGUCACAGGAGGUCAUGGUGGGCCAUUUUUGUUGGAUUAAAGAAAAAGAAAAGGAAAAAGAAAUGGUUUCAUCUCUCUCUCUCUCCUUCCUCUCUCCCUUCCGUCGAUUUCCCUUUCUCCAUCUCUCUUCUUGCUGCUCGACGGAACCGAGCAGACCAGCGAAGCCGGAGAAGUCGCACACCUCCGCCGGAGCCAGACUCGCCGCCGCACACCGUCGCUUCUCCGCCUUGCUCGCACGCCCUCCACCUUUCUCUUUCCUCCUACAACCGUCGACUUCUUCUUCUUCUUUGUGCUAUUUGAAACCCAACAGCAAGCCAGUAGCUCAGCUCAUCGCCGUCGCACGCCGCUGGACCGCCACUGCCGCCGUUCGUCCCCGCGCAGGCCGUCGCUACUCGCCGCUGCUCCGCACGACUCUGCCCGCCUCUCGUCUACCCCUGCAUCGCAGCUUCUGCCUCAUCUCGUGCUAGAGCUAUUCAGCCACUUCCGGCCACUGUGAGACCCCACCGUUGGCCGCACGGCACCGCCACAGCUCCUCCACCCGUUUCUGACUCAAGCCGGCACCGAAUCGACCCUUUCCCAGCCCCAACCAACAACGCAUAGAGUGGAGAAAAAGUGGGUAUUGCUGUCCGGUUUUGGCCUGUUUUGGCUGGCUUCCUGACCCUCGAAUGCUCGGCCCACCUUGGGGAAAUCCGAUCCUCAUGUCGAUCCCGUCAUUUUGGUCCGCUCGGCUCGCUAAUCCGGUGAAUUUAGUUCACUAAACCUCGAUUAGAGGGUUAAUUAUGUUUAUGGAGGUUUAGUUUAUGUUAAGUGUUAUUAGGUGGUUAGUUUAAUUUAUUUAAGUAUAGAUUAGACUAAUGUGUUUAAUUAACUUAAAGUGUGUUUAAUUUAGUACUAAGUGGAUGUUUAUAUUAAUAUAAGCCUUAAUGUGACUUAAAUGAAUUUAAUUUUGAUUUAAAUAAAUGUUUCGAAAUUAUUGGAUUAUUUAAUAAUAUAUUAUAUUACGAAAAUUAUUAUAAUAUUAUUAUAUAAUUAAUUUUCGGAAUAAAUUUAAUUAUUUAUUAAAUUCCGAAAAUUUUGUCGGGACCCUAUAUUCUCAUAAUUUCGCGCUAAUCACUGUUGUGUAUUCAGAUUUUGAAAUUGAUGGUUGUAUAUUAUGAAUUGAGUGUGGAUUAUGAAAAAUAUGGAUAUUAUUUUAUUUAAUUUUCGGAAUAAAUUUAAUUAAUUAAUUAUUUUCCGGAAAUUAGGCGAUGAUGGCCAAUGACCAGAAUUUUAUGCUGAUCAUCGUGGUGCAAUCCAUUUAUUUAUUUGAGCUUUAUUUUGUACUAACUUGAUUUAUGAGUGAUUUUAAGAUUUAUUCCUAAAUUGAAUAAUCUUUGGUUAUUAAUUGAAAAAUAAUCGGGCAUCGGUUGAUAAUGCCAAAAAUGUUUUGGUAGAUUACAAAAAAUGAUGGGAUAUAUGGAAAGGGUCGAGUGGGACCGUAAAGCCAUUGAAUCUUGAAAUGGUCGAUUGGGACCAUAAAGCCAUUGAAUCUUGAAAGGGUCGAGUGGGACCGUAAAGCCACUAAAUAUAGAAAGUGUCGAGUGUGAUCGUAAAGCCACUAAAUAUUGAAAGUUGCUGAGUGUAGCCGUGAUUACCACUAAAUUUAGAUUUGCCUGGAGGGCCGUGUUUGAGGGUCGAGAAUGAAUAGUCAGAAUGACCGUGCGAUGACCUCGAUGACAUGUAAUCGACUGAGUUGAUUGAUCGCUGAGUCGAUCCGAGCAAGUGAAUUGUUUGAAUUCUAUCACCGUAUAUGCCUGAGUGAUAUGAACAUGAUUGAGUGAUUUGAAUUGUGCUAACCUGCAGAAAGGAACGGAGGCGAGGUAAGUCCUUUAUGUGGUGUGGCUAGGCCACUCUUGGAUGUAUUUUCUUUCUAAUAAGGGUUUAGGGGGUUGAAUUUGCUAAGACAAUGUCUCAUCCCGGUUGUGGGAUUACAAUUUCAGGUCCCUAGAUGGCGGGCGGUCGUGGAGAACCCGAAGCCCUAAGUCUGGAAAGGUGGAAACUGAAUAAUCGGUGAACGUGUCCUGCUAAUUGGUCUUAGGAUAGUUCCCCUUUUGUCGAACUGGUCUAUUUUGUAGACAGUCCAGUGUUGUAUUUAAACCUAUGUUUUUAUAAAUGAGUGUUUGGUAUUGUGAUUAAUUGCAUACUUUUCUAUCCCAAGUUAAAUGUUGUCAGGGGAUUUUUUUCGCUUCCGCAUGCGUAAUAAAAUGAAUGGGUAGACGACGUAUCCAGGGAUGUCGCAUAUUUGAUCGACCGCAGUGGGAUGUGCGCGCACUCGGGGUUCGGGGCGUGACAUGUAGACUAACCCAAACUCAUUCCUAACAAAUGACUAAGGAGAGGGGCCCAUUCUCUUUCUAAUCCAAGCUUGUACACAAACUUUUCUGUCACGAAAAAGGAAAACAAAGGGAAAAAUAGAAAGCUUAUACAUAAAUUUUAUUUCCUUUUUCUUAUUUAUUUGUGUAUCUUCUUAUUAAUUGCUAAGUUGGAUGCACUGUCCAUCUUAGUCAUCUCAUGUGUCAUAGGAGAAUUACCUGAAAGAUCUUAAAUUUAUUGCAAUUGUGACAAUUUAAUUCUAAACUUUUUUUACCAAUUUAGCCCCAAAUCUUUUUAAUUCAAUCCAUCUAAUCAAAUUUGAUUGAUUGGCGCUGAUAUAAAUGUAGGCUGGUGUCAGUCGUUCGGUGAAUGUUAACGUGAAAUAUUUUUUCGAAUUUUCAAAUUUUUUUCCCAUCUUCCCCCUUCCUUUGGCCAAUCAAAGGCGAGGGCCAACAAGGUCACCUCGCAGACCAAUGAUGAGGCUCACCCCCGCUAACCACUAACAAGAGUGAGCCUCACCCAACCAUGGUGAGGCCCUGCUACAUCUAGCGAGGCUCGACCUCACCCAACCAUGACGAGGGCGAGCUUCAACAACCACAAGGUUGACCCUCGCCAAACCUAACCAUGGUGAGCCUAGUGAUAGCGAGGCUGACCUCACCAUGGCUAGGCGAGGCCUCACUAGUGGCCGAGGUGACCAACGUUGAGCCUCGCCCUCGCUACUAACCAACGAGAGUGAGUCUCGCCAUUGGCCAACAAGACUAAUCUAUGGCUGAUGACGAUCAUCUAGAGAAAGGAGGAAGGGAAAAAAAUAAAAAAAGAAAGAAAAAAAGGAAUAAAUAAAAAUUAUUUAAAAAUUCUAAAAAAAAUAAAAAAUUAUCUCGUCACUAAACGGUCUAGCUGAUCAAAUUUGAUCAAAUAGAUUGAAUUGACACAAUUAAAAUGAGUUUAAGGCUUUUUCGAUAAUUUUUCCCAUGUGUCACUCAUUAUCCUUAAAUGUCUGUCCCUCCAAUCCCCUGCCAAUUAAGGCAUCACUCACGAGCUCAAAUGGAAGCUAGCUUCUGUCAGAUGGAAAAAAGUUGGACCUCUUUGUUUGGAAUGAGUUACAAGUCUACUGAGUAGCCUCAUAUUGCGACAUGACAAUUAUGAUUCCAUAAAAUUUCAAAUGCCCAUGACCCUCACGUCUACAUAUGUCUACGCUGAUGAAAAUUAUAGAGGUGAUGGAUGAACAUUUUUCGGCUUAGCCAACCUUUAGGGGUGUCCGACAAAAAACAAAAACCUUAAAGAGGUGUCCUUAGACCGAAAAACAAAAUAAAUUAAAAACCUCAAUGAGGUGUCCAAUGAUGUUGUUGAAAUGCAUGCAAGCAGUUCGAAAAUAUGUUCAAUAGAGACAUUUCUUUCUUGGAAUCAACCGAUGUUGUAAUUCAAAUUUGAAGUCCAAGGUGUAGGCAAGUUAUUUCCUUUGUUUCGCUGAGUCUUCCUUGUAUAUGUCCUUGUCGUUGUUCAUUUCUAAUAUGAUCUUUCUUUGCCUUCGCUAUUCUUACUCGUGGAUUUUUGAAAUGACUACCGUGAAUCCCAUGCACAUGUUGUCUUGGCAAUGCUAAGGGAAUCCGGCUGAGUAAAGAUAUCACCAAGUGAUAUUGCUAUAGUUUUUAUUUUAUUCUAUUGAACAUGUAUUAUUAGGGUGAUGGCGAACCAGUUUAACUCUCUGGUAAUCCGAUGAACAACCCAGUCUCAACAUCUGUACUCCAGCUGCUCCGGCUAUGUAUUGCUGCUGCUCUUGGAUGAGCUGUUGAUUGCCCAGGAUUUGCAAGACACUGAAAUUGGAAGAAAGAAAAAAAAGGACCCAAAAUGCUUUUAAAUUUAAUGAAAUAACAAAUGCAAUUGAAUGGUGAUGAAGACUCUGGAAACCUUCACUGAAUUAAAAUGGGAAAAAGCUUCAACGCAAUUUGAGAUUUACAAGCAGUGAACAAGCCUUUCACUGGAUCAAAUUAGGUGGCGAAGCAUCUGUCUAUGUGCUCAGAUCUAUUAAUUGUCACUGGGAAAUUUCAAUUUUUCCCAACAUCUGACUCUAGAAGAGGUUCUCUCCUCCAUGGUCGGAAAAAAAAAAAAAAACCCUAAAAGUGGUUAGCAACACCAACCAUGCCUACGAACUUCGGUUCCACCUAUAGUCAAUGUCUAAAGUACAGACUAGUAUCUCAUGAAAGUAAUAUCCUCUAUGUUAUUGUAAUUUUAUAAGAAGUGGUCAUAUUAAAAGGCUAUUAGUUUUUGUUAUCGAGUUAGUGUUUUCUACACAGAUCGUCUAAUGUUUACAACAUCAUAGAAAGACACAAACUUUCAUACCUUCUACAAUCCCAUGUUAGAAGCAUAGAAUUGUACCUGAUGAUAGCAAGUUGGGUAGUAGUUUUCUUAACAUUAAUUACUCAGAAACAUCGUGCUACUAAUUUUUAUUACCGUAUUGGUAAUUACUAACUUUUUGAUAUUUUCACUAGGAAAGUUGAAUUUAUCCCAACAACUAACUCUAGAAGUGAUUCUCUCUUCCAUUCUAAUAAAAGACAAGGAUAAAAAAUAAAAAAGCUUGAAAAGUGAUUAGGUACGCCAAAUGUGAUCACUAAAAGUUUUGGCUGCAUCUAUAGUCCCUAGUUGGAAAACCCAAUACGUUCUUCUUGAAAUAAAUAUUCUCAAAAUUGUGAUAUCCACAAUGCGGGUCACUACUCAGUGUUAGUAACCUUUUUCUUUUCAAGUCAGUAACUUCUAAGCAGAUCAAGUAAUGGUCAGCACAGAAAGACACAGAUUUGGGUCCAUCUACAAUCCUACAGUCUUACAGUCUAAUAUACAUAGUUGUAUCUCUUGAUCGUAAUUCCCCUAAAAUUUGUUUUCCCAACAUGAGUUCGUAACUCUGUAUUAGUAACUUCUAUCAUGGAGUCAAUCACUUUCUUAAUAGAUCAAGUGUGGGACCAUAGAAGCACACAGAGAUCUGAGUUUGUCUACAGUUCCAUGCAAAAGAGAUAAGUAGUAUUGUAUCUCGUGACAGUAAAUUUAUCAAUGUGACAGUAAUUUUCUCAACUUGGAUUAGAGGCUUAGUGCUUGAAAUAAGUUUCAAGCAGAUCAUACGGUCUCAAGAUCAUAGAAUUCUUCGGUGAUGUUCAACCUAUCUGCUCUUUUGAACUUAUGCUAUCAAAAACAAAACUUCUCACAGAUGGAGAAAGGUCCAACAUAAAUACAGGUACAUAACCCUGAAAUUAAGUACCUCUCAUUAUGCAUUGUCCUUUUCAUAAAAACUGGUCAUGUAGCAGUACUCUUUAAAGGUUUUAGCACCAGGACCAAUAGAGAGCAAGACAAACUGAUGACCAGCAAAUUUAACCAGGACAACAAACUGUACAGCACACAAUCUACUAAUAUUAAUUUGAUGGACAAAAGCAACAAGCUUCUUCACUACACAAGCGUGUUAGAACAUUAGGGCAAAAACCAUUAUUAAUCAUUAAAGACCUCUCUCGGGUCUUAGCAGAUCAUAGAACUACACUGUUAGAUCAUACAUGAAAAUGAUUGAGAGGUUCUAUUUCAGGUUUCACAAGUUUGUGGAUAGUGGUUAAUAUAUGCACAGAAACGUGAUGAUGCAUGACAAGUGACAGGAAGGAAACAAAAGCACAGAUGGGAAAGAGGGUGACACCUUUGCAAGAAGCUUUUCAUUCUCUUCUUUCAGAGACCUCUCCUGAAGUACACCAAAUAAAGUUGCUAGAUUAAUAUAACCAGGAAUUUAACAAUGCCUGAUGAGAUCGGAUAUGCAUUCAUCAUAUUUGUCCACUUACCUUUGCUUGUAACUGCUGUAUCUGAUCAUUGAAUAAUUGAGCCUGUAAAAGAGUUCCAUAGAAAUAUUUUAACUUUCGUGUGUGUGCAUAUCUUCCCCAUACGUUUCUUAGCACAAGGUGGUAAAAAAAGAGAGAAAAUAAGUUGAAAUGAUGGACGAUAGAAAUGAAAGGACAAUGCUUCGCAAAUUGUCCAGAAACAUAGUUCAAGUGAUAAGUAGUACAUGGAAAUCGGUGAGGUUAAUAUAAUAAAAAAACUCACGAUAUUCUAU
This 40606-nucleotide long non-coding RNA is filed under the name Eucalyptus grandis. Its description in RNAcentral is "long non-coding RNA (EGRA_LNC006219)". The record is from RNAcentral. Lineage: Eukaryota; Viridiplantae; Streptophyta; Magnoliopsida; Myrtales; Myrtaceae.